UACGGGGGGGGCAAGCGUUGUUCGGAAUUACUGGGCGUAAAGGGCUCGUAGGUGGCCAACUAAGUCAGACGUGAAAUCCCUCGGCUUAACCGGGGAACUGCGUCUGAUACUGGAUGGCUUGAGUUCGGGAGAGGGAUGCGGAAUUCCAGGUGUAGCGGUGAAAUGCGUAGAUAUCUGGAGGAACACCGGUGGCGAAGGCGGCAUCCUGGACCGAAACUGACACUGAGGAGCGAAAGCCAGGGGAGCAAACGGG
This 253-nucleotide ribosomal RNA is filed under the name uncultured bacterium. Its description in RNAcentral is "partial 16S ribosomal RNA". It matches the Rfam family "Bacterial small subunit ribosomal RNA", at positions 524 to 776 of the family's 1533-position model. The record is from RNAcentral.